AGGACGAACGCUGGCGGCGUGCCUAACACAUGCAAGUCGAACGGGGUAGCAAUACCCAGUGGCAGACGGGUGAGUAACACGUGGUCAACCUACCUCUGUGUGGGGGAUAACUAGCCGAAAGGUUAGCUAAAUACCGCAUACGAUCGUUUUGAGGCAUCUCGAGACGAUGAAAGGAGCAAUCCGCACGGAGAGGGGACUGCGUCCCAUUAGUUAGUUGGUGGGGUAACGGCCUACCAAGACUCCGAUGGGUAGCUGGCUUGAGAGAGCGACCAGCCACACUGGAACUGAGAAACGGUCCAGACUCCUACGGGAGGCAGCAGUGAGGAAUUUUCCGCAAUGGGCGAAAGCCUGACGGAGCGACGCCGCGUGUGGGAUGAAGGCCUUCGGGCGUAAACCACUGUCGAAGGGGACGAUAAUGACGGUACCCUUGGAGGAAGCCCGGCUAACUACGUGCCAGCAGCCGC
This 464-nucleotide ribosomal RNA is filed under the name uncultured bacterium. RNAcentral describes it as "SSU rRNA". It matches the Rfam family "Bacterial small subunit ribosomal RNA", at positions 26 to 518 of the family's 1533-position model. The record is from RNAcentral.